GAAUGCAUUCCAAGUGAGAUGUCCAAGAUCAAAGGAAC
This 38-nucleotide small RNA is filed under the name Arabidopsis thaliana (thale cress). Lineage: Eukaryota; Viridiplantae; Streptophyta; Magnoliopsida; Brassicales; Brassicaceae. The record is from RNAcentral.